This 905-nucleotide non-coding RNA is filed under the name Eleutherodactylus sp. KU202623. RNAcentral describes it as "partial 12S ribosomal RNA". It matches the Rfam family "Bacterial small subunit ribosomal RNA", at positions 359 to 1522 of the family's 1533-position model. The record is from RNAcentral. Lineage: Eukaryota; Metazoa; Chordata; Amphibia; Anura; Eleutherodactylidae.
CCUUAGAUCAGUUUUUCUUGACUUACACAUGCAAGUCUCCGCACACCCGUGAGAACGCCCUUCCCUCCACCUAGGAGAAAGGAGCUGAUAUCAGGCACAAUAACUUGCCCAAAACAUCUAGCCACGCCACACCCACAAGGGCCCUCAGCAGUGAUUAACAUUAAAAAUAAACGUCAGUUUGAUUUAGCCAAUGAAAACAGAGCCGGCCAAUUCGGUGCCAGCCGCCGCGGUUACACCAAGUGGCUCAAACUGAUCUUGUUCGGCGUAAAGCGUGAUUAAAGAAAUAAUAUACUGGAGCUAAACUUAAACUAUGCUGUAACACGCUUGUUUUAAGAAAGUCACACCCGAAAGAUGCCCCAACAUACCAACUUGAAUUCACGACAACUAGAACACAAACUGGGAUUAGAUACCCCACUAUGCCUAGUCGUAAACUUUAAAUUACACCCAAUCGCCAGGAAACUACGAGCAAAGCUUAAAACCCAAAGGACUUGACGGUGCCCCACAUCCCCCUAGAGGAGCCUGUCCUACAACCGAUACCCCCCGUUCAACCUCACCACUUCUAGUUCCUCAGCCUGUAUACUUCCGUCGUCAGCUUACCGCAUGAGCGAAACUCAGUAAGCCCAAUGUUUACUCACCAAAACGUCAGGUCAAAGUGCAGCAAAUGAAGUGGGCAGUGAUGGGCUACACUUUCUUCUAUAGAAAACACAAAAAACUAUGUGAAACCAUAGUUAAAGGCGGAUUUAGCAGUAAGGGGAAAACAGAGUGUUCCCCUUAACUCGGCACUGGGGCGUGUACACACCGCCCGUCACCCUCUCCAACAUAAAAUUUUAGUAUUUAACAAUUUACUACCCUCUAGGAGAGGCAAGUCGUAACAUGGUAAGCAUACCGGAAGGUGUGCUUGGACA